CAUUGCGGUAGAACUAAAAAGAAGUCCCUGCUUUUAUAGCAUAGCUUUGCUUUUAUAAGGAUGAACGUAAAUGCAGCCAUCUAACUGCUGAAGCUUUAGAUCCCAGUGGAAAUAUCUUCGGCUCAAAUUUCUCGAAAGCUUACACAUCUAGGUCUCAGGAAUGCCAAGAAGAGGACAAAAGUUUCGGAGGUACCUCUCUCAGCUGGAGACCUAGCUACACAACCACAAAACCACGCGCUAGAUGAUCCUAAAGCCAGAGAGCACCCGGCGCAUAAGGGAAAAGUGUACAUGGGUUAAGCUGUAAUCAUGACAACAACGCUAAUCAUCCAAUAUCAGCUGAUGAAGAAACACUGCAAGCACUUAAGAGCAGAUGGACAACAUCUUCGAGCAGACUGCAGCGAAGAAG
Long non-coding RNA from Lolium rigidum, 406 nucleotides. RefSeq lists it as uncharacterized. The transcript is spliced from 3 exons. The record is from RefSeq and is a predicted model, not a curated record. NCBI's taxonomy places the organism in Eukaryota, Viridiplantae, Streptophyta, Magnoliopsida, Poales, Poaceae.